Molecule: ribosomal RNA, 479 nt
Filed under: uncultured bacterium
Lineage: Bacteria
Description: bacterial SSU rRNA
Rfam family: Bacterial small subunit ribosomal RNA
Source: RNAcentral
AGAGUUUGAUCCUGGCUCAGAUUGAACGCUGGCGGCAAGCCUAACACAUGCAAGUCGAGCGGUAACAGAUCGCUGUGAUCCCUUCGGGGUGAACUUGAUGCUGACGAGCGGCGGACGGGUGAGUAACGCGUAGGAAUCUACCCAGUAGCGGGGGAUAGCUCGGGGAAACUCGAAUUAAUACCGCAUACGCCCUAAGGGGGAAAGCAGGGGAUCUUCGGACCUUGCACUAUUGGAUGAGCCUGCGUUGGAUUAGCUAGUUGGUGGGGUAAAGGCCUACCAAGGCGACGAUCCAUAGCUGGUCUGAGAGGAUGAUCAGCCACACUGGGACUGAGACACGGCCCAGACUCCUACGGGAGGCAGCAGUGGGGAAUAUUGGACAAUGGGCGCAAGCCUGAUCCAGCUAUGCCGCGUGUGUGAAGAAGGUUCUAGGAUUGUAAAGCACUUCAAGCAGUGAAGAAGGCCAUGUAGUUAAUACCCUG